Molecule: ribosomal RNA, 253 nt
Filed under: uncultured bacterium
Lineage: Bacteria
Description: partial 16S ribosomal RNA
Rfam family: Bacterial small subunit ribosomal RNA
Source: RNAcentral
UACAGGGGGGGCAAGCGUUGUUCGGAAUUACUGGGCGUAAAGGGUCUGUAGGUGGCUUGCUAAGUCAGACGUGAAAUCCCCGGGCUUAACCUGGGAAUGGCGUUUGAAACUACGGAGCUGGAGUGUGGCAGAGGGAGGUAGAAUUCCACGUGUAGCGGUGAAAUGCGUAGAUAUGUGGAGGAAUACCGAUGGCGAAGGCAGCCUCCUGGGCCAACACUGACGCUCAUGCACGAAAGCGUGGGGAGCAAACAGG